UAUACAACGAAUUGAAGAAAAUGUUCCAUUUAACAUUUGUUAAAAAAAUCGAGGCAUUUUUGUUGGGGAUUGUAGGGAAAGACCUGCCAAAAAAGUUGAAAAACAUCUUCAUGUAUGUGACAACGGCCGCGAGAGUUCUGGUAGCACAAGGAUGGAAGACUGAAGAAACCCCAACUAAAGAAUCAUGGCAAGAAAAAUUGAUGGACUAUGCAGAACUGGCAAAACUGACAUAUAAGCUACGGGACAAGGAUAACUGUGACUUUAAGGAUGAAUGGGAACCCUUUACAAAGUAUCUGAAGAUGCAACAAAGCGAACUGGACUCCUUGGCAGGUUUUGCAUAAACUUUCACAAACUUUUUAUUGAUAAUAAUCAGCUAAAUAGUUUGAGGAUCUAUACAACUUUGUAACAUGCAGAAAACAGCAUUCUUAGAGAAACCAAAAACUGGAACUGAG
This 452-nucleotide long non-coding RNA is filed under the name Podarcis lilfordi (Lilford's wall lizard). Lineage: Eukaryota; Metazoa; Chordata; Lepidosauria; Squamata; Lacertidae. The record is from RNAcentral.